UUGAACGCUGGCGGCAUGCCUUACACAUGCAACGUCGAACGGCAGCACGGGAGCAAUCCUGGUGGCGAGUGGCGAACGGGUGAGUAAUAUAUCGGAACGUGCCCAGUCGUGGGGGAUAACGUAGCGAAAGCUACGCUAAUACCGCAUACGAUCUAUGGAUGAAAGCGGGGGAUCGCAAGACCUCGCGCGAUUGGAGCGGCCGAUAUCAGAUUAGGUAGUUGGUGAGGUAAAGGCUCACCAAGCCGACGAUCUGUAGCUGGUCUGAGAGGACGACCAGCCACACUGGGACUGAGACACAGCCCAGACUCCUACGGGAGGCAGCAGUGGGGAAUUUUGGACAAUGGGCGCAAGCCUGAUCCAGCAAUGCCGCGUGCAGGAUGAAGGCCUUCGGGUUGUAAACUGCUUUUGUACGGAACGAAACGGUGAGCUCUAAUACAGUUUGCUAAUGACGGUACCGUAAGAAUAAGCACCGGCUAACUACGUG
RNAcentral lists this ribosomal RNA (484 nucleotides) under uncultured bacterium. RNAcentral describes it as "bacterial SSU rRNA". It matches the Rfam family "Bacterial small subunit ribosomal RNA", at positions 30 to 507 of the family's 1533-position model. The record is from RNAcentral.